CUGACCCUAAGACCCUAGGACCUAAAAAAGCUAGAAGCAAUCUGCUGUUCUUAACAACAAGAAACACCCCCCUCCUGGAUCUCAUCUCCUUCACCCAACCCAAAGGAUAUUCUUCAUUUGGUGAACCAAGAAAAAAGACUACAAAAAAACAAAAAGACUCUUAGACCUUUCAGCCGAAAAGGACCAAAGAGGGACUCCGCCGACUUCAUCUUCUUCAGCAACCAACACACCCUAAGCAGCAACCUCUCACCAGACCCAUCGCCGAGCCACCCCGCCUCACUGUUCGCCGGAAAAUAGUAGCAGCGGUCACCAGAUCUCUAAAGGCUAAUAGUCGUUGCCCACCCCCUUCUCUUCUCUGAAAAUCCAGUUUUCUUUUUGUGUAAUCUUGAGUAAGUGUAUCAGGGAAUGAAAUAGUUGUGUGUAUUUUCAGAUCCUCUCCCUUCCGUCUUUUAGAAUGAGGGGCAAAUAAUGAGCCGAAAUAUUUCUUGGAUUUGGGAUCCUUCGUUGGCGAUUGCCGAGGAUGAAAUUGCCAGCGACGAUAUAUCCCUUGAGGGAUUUGAGAAGGAGUUUCUGUCGUGUUCCGGUCCAGCUUGAGUUCCGUCGAGGUUCGAUUUGAGAUCGUUGUUCUUUGUUUCCGGUUUGAGGUGUGGAUUUACUUACCGGAGUUUGGGCAUGACAGACACCCUAGGACCAUCCAGUCAGAGUCGCUCAUUCAGGAGUUUACUUAAGGAGAUUUUUUUUAGUUAUUAUGUUUUGAGUCUGUUGUUCUUUUUAUGUCAUCUUUUACCUUCUAAUUUUGUACAGUAAUGUCGAGUCUUUUAGGUGAUGUUAGUUUCUGUCAUAGUCUAGUAAGUUUGUCGAGUUUUUUUUUUGUUAUUGUAUGUCCUAUUUUGCAUUUGAAAAAUGUGUUAUAGAUCAAAAAUUCAAAAAAAAAAAAGAAAUUUUGCAUUUUUA
Molecule: long non-coding RNA, 954 nt
Organism: Nicotiana tabacum (common tobacco)
Lineage: Eukaryota; Viridiplantae; Streptophyta; Magnoliopsida; Solanales; Solanaceae
Source: RefSeq, a predicted model, not a curated record